RNAcentral lists this ribosomal RNA (521 nucleotides) under uncultured bacterium. RNAcentral describes it as "bacterial SSU rRNA". It matches the Rfam family "Archaeal small subunit ribosomal RNA", at positions 345 to 866 of the family's 1478-position model. The record is from RNAcentral.
AACCUCCGCAAUGUGAGAAAUCGCGACGGGGGGAUCCCAAGUGCCAUUCUUAACGGGAUGGCUUUUCAUUAGUGUAAAGAGCUUUUGGAAUAAGGGCUGGGCAAGACCGGUGCCAGCCGCCGCGGUAACACCGGCAGCUCUAGUGGUAGCAGUUUUUAUUGGGCCUAAAGCGUCCGUAGCCGGUUUAAUAAGUCUCUGGUGAAAUCCUGUAGCUUAACUGUGGGAAUUGCUGGAGAUACUAUUAGACUUGAGACCGGGAGAGGUUAGAGGUACUCCCAGGGUAGAGGUGAAGUUCUGUAAUCCUGGGAGGACCGCCUGUUGCGAAGGCGUCUAACUGGAACGGUUCUGACGGUGAGGGACGAAAGUUAGGGGCGCGAACCGGAUUAGAUACCCGGGUAGUCCUAACUGUAAACGAUGCGGACUUGGUGUUGGGGUGGCUUUGAGCUGCUCCAGUGCCGAAGGGAAGCUGUUAAGUCCGCCGCCUGGGAAGUACGGUCGCAAGACUGAAACUUAAAGGAAUU